UUUUUUUUUUCUUUUGGCAUAAUUUCUCUCUCUCUCUCUCUAAUCCCAGAAUUCCUAGAUUUUCACAGGUGUAUUUCUCUGGCUACAGAGUAAGUGAGCUUCCCCAGGGAGUUCUGAUGAGGGACCUGUCUUGGUUACUGACCCUGAAAAGCGGUGUUCAGCCAGACCCUUUGGCCUUUGAGGUCUGUUUACUAUGGUUGGAACAAGUGGUCAGGAAGGAACAGUGUAUCAGGUUGUGCUUGCUUUUCUGGAUUUGCUUAAGUGGUUUUUAAAAAUAGAUGUUACGCAAAUAUAACAGAUUAUGCCUAACUUGGGAUAGUGGGAGCCUACUGCACCCCUGGAGAUUGGUGCAUUUCAACCAGUGUCCCAUCUUGUGUGCAGAUGAAGGAAUAGAGAUCUCUUGUCUAAUCUGAAUAUUCGGCAGCACCUGCAGUUUUCCAGGUAGGCCUUGCUGCAGGUCUUCAGGUUGUUCUGUCUGCUUGUUUUUCCCUGUUCAGUUCUUGAUACUAGUCAGACCUGGUCUGUAUCCGAAUCCCCAUGACGCAGAGCCAGUCAGCCUGGAACUGCGCUGUUUGUGUGCUCAGGUCCUGAACCAAGUGUACAGGUACAUGCCCCUUGCAUAUAACCUGCCUCAUUAUUCAGUUCUCCCACAGGUCUGGGCCACUCUUAAGACUGUGGCCCUUUGAUUUGGGGCCAAGAUUUCCUUCCUAGCUCUUGCCAUUCUCUCUCCCAGGAGCUAGAUCCUGACUGAAUAGCUGUUAUCUGGGCUUCAACCAGUCCUGUGUGUCAUGAGCUUAUGAAUAUCGUUCAUUCAUUUAUUAUUUGUUGGUUUUUAUUUUUUUAAUGGCAGCUGCCUUUUUUUUCUUCUUCUUUUUAGGGCUACACCUGCAGCAUAUGCAGUUCUUGAGCUAGGGGUCAAAUCAGAGCUGCAGCUGCCAGCCUAUGCCACAGCCACAGCUGCACCGGAUCCUUAACCCACUGUGCAAGGCCAGGGAUCAAAUCUGCAUCCUCACAGACACUGUGUCGGGUUCUUAACCUGCUGAGCCACAAUGGGAGCUUCCCAUUAUUUGUUUUUGUAAAUAUUUAUAUAAAUAUUUAUCAAUCACUUAGUAUGUGUCUUACCCCCUCUUCAUGCUGAAAAUGUAGAGGGGAACAAAAUGGUGUAACCCUUGUUCUCAGAGAGUUUAGAUUCUAGUGGGGAAGAAAGAUAUUAAGCCAAUAACCAGACAAGUAAAUAUCCAGUUACAAACUGUGAUAAAUCCUAUGAUGGAUGAGAACUAAAUUCUCAGAAGAAGUAGCAGGCAGGAUCUAAUUUGGAUUGGGUGGGGGUGAGGAAAGUUCUCCCAGAGUUAGCCAAGUGAGGACGAUGAGAAAGGUGAGCAAAUGCAGGUGAAAGGUCUCAGAGGUGGCACUGAGCUUGGCCUCUUUAAUGACUUCCACAGUGGCCAGUGAGACGAGAGCACUGAUUGCCAACCCUGACUGUGUGAGCAUCCAGUGGCUGCCAUAACUAACCCUUGCAAACAUACGGCCUGCAACAACAGGACUUACUUUCUCAUAGAUAUGGAGGCCACAAGUACAAAAGAAUACCCCCGGGCUAAAAUCCAGGGCAGUGCUCCUUCCAGAGGCUUGAGGAGAGCCUUGCUGUUCCAGCCAUUCUUUACUGUUCCAGCUUUCGGUGGCUGUCCACAUUCCUUGGCUUGUGGCCACGGCACUCCAGAUCUUCAGAUCUCUCUCUGCUCUACCUUCAUGUCACCUUUUCUCCUGUGUUUCUCAAAUCUCCCUCUGCCUCUCUUGUAUAAGGACAACUGUGACUGUAUUUGGAGCCCACCCAAAUAAUGUAGGGGAAUCUUCCUAACUCCAGAUCCUUAAUCAUAUUAGCAAAAUCCUUUUUUUUUUUUUUUUUUCAUAUCAGGAAACAUCUAUAGGUUUCAGGGAUUAGGACCUGAUAUCUUUGGGGGCCAUUAUUCAGCCCAUUACUCUGGAUUGCUUUAGUAAUCCCUGGAGGAACUUUUAUUUUUAUUUUUAAAAUUUUUUUACUUAUUUUUUCGCUUUGUAGGGCCAUACCCCUGGCAUAUAGAAGCUCCCAGGCUAAGGGUCGACUCAAAGCUACAGCUGCAACGCGGGAUCCGAGGUGCAACCUACACCACAGCUGAUGGCAACACCAGAUCCUUAACCCCCGAGCAAGGCCAGGGAUCAAACCCGUAUCCUCAUGGAUGUUAAUCGGGUUCGUUAACUGCUGGGAGCUCCCCUGGAGGAGCUUUUAAAUCUGCAUCGCCCACGCUCCACCUUACAUCACUUAAAUCAGAAUCUCUCUGUGAGGCUGGGGCAUGGAUAUUUUUAAAAGCCUCCCCAGGCGAUUCUGAAACAACUGCUAGACUCUGUGGCAGAUAACGUCUGGCCUAGAGCAUGAUGAAGGAAGAGCAGGUGUAGUAACAGGCAGGAUGUCAUCACAAUUUGGACACUUCUCCUGCUUUUAACCUGAUGGGACCUGUUGGCCAUCAAUGCCGACUGAAGGAAGCCCUCGCUGAAUGGACCUCUUGGGAAGGUUUUGUGGUUUAACUUCACUGGGAGCAUCUUGGCCCUGCUUCCUUCCAUUCCUGCUUCUUCUUUGCCAUCCAUCUGACGCUGAGGUCUUGGAGCACGUGAUGCCUCAGUCUGCCCAAGUUCUAAAGACGGCAUAGAGCUUACAAGUGAAGGGGGCUCAAAUGUCGCUCAUACUUUGCAGGCCUCACACAGAUAGAUCUCACACAAAUACAGCUGGGCGCUCCAGAGCUGUAAGCCCAAGUCUGAAGAUACCUUUGUAAAUUUGUAGGAAAAAAACAAAACCAAACAACUAAGGUUUGAACUACAAACAACCUUAGAGGCAGGCCCAGAACUGAGGAAGCAUGUCAGAGCCUCCAGAACUCAUGACUUGUUUUAGCCGUAGAGAGGGGAUAUUUUUCCUUUCUCACUGGACCCACUUAUCUAUGAAGAUGCUGGUGUUUUUCAGUGAAUGUAUUUGGGGAAAAUGGUAAUUGGGUCUAUCAAGAUCCCUGUGUUGAUGUGCAGCUUUGGCCCUAAGGACAAACGUAGACUCGGAACCACAUAGGCUUGUCACCUGGGAGCUACGAGGAUGACCAGGGAAUGUGCUAAGAAUUUGAUUGUCUGAGAACAAGAACCAAUUUAGGGAGUUCCUCAGUAGCUAUUUGCUAGUAGAUCAGUGUUUUCAAAACCCAGUUAGAAAGUCCCAAGCCCCACUCACCCCUGGACCACUAAUAUCAGGGAAGCCAUCUUUGCUUUUACAAAUCACUGAAUUGUCUCCGGGGAGGCAAAGAGGCAAUGAUCUCCUCUUGGGGGCUGCUGUCUUUUUUACGGUCAUCAGAUCUUGUCAUGGGCUCCAGCCACAGGGGAAUGUUGGUAACACCUGGAAAAGGGAGGGUUGUCUCUUUAAGUACUGGGAAUGUUUAACUGGAAAUCCUUUGUGGAUGGGUCCAAGAUCUGUAUAGCCUCUGUCCUUCUGAUGUGGAAUGCCUCCCUAGCACAGGGCCCCAAUUGGUCUCCUGCUCUUUGUUGCCAACAACCAUCUCAGCUUGGGCCAGACGUCAUGAAAAGAUCCAGUAACAGCAUGAUGCUUCAUGUGGGGGGUCCUUCCGUGGUCUUCCUCUUUGUAGCUACCCUCUUGUCUCCAGCAUCACUUGCACCCCAUUUUCUCCUAUCACAAUGCAAAUAUGAACUGUGUCUGUUUAUUAGUGGGUUUCCUUCGGAGUACUCUUUCAGUUUAGGGAGGCGGCGGGGCGGGGGGGGGUUCUUUUCUGAAUUUUUAGUGUUGCAUAUGCUCAAUGCUCAAAGAAAGGUUUGACUUUCUGGUGGGCUCCCUUUCUGAACCUCUUUUUAAAGCUUCCUGUUGGACAUACCCUUUCUUUUCCAAAAUGGCAGUUUCGUGUCCUGUGAGACAGGAAAUGCCUUUUCUCUUGAUUGCCCCUUUUCAGUGGAAAUCUAUCACAAAGGCAAUCACAAAGAAUUCUUUCCUGCUAAGAAGUUGGGUGCUCCAGUCAUACCUGUCUUAUCUAGAAAGUGGUUCAAUUAUUUUCAUCUCUGACAAAAUGAUGAACUUCAGAGGAUUUGCCCAAGGAGAGAGGGUGGAAGGGUUGGCAUGGCUAGCUUCACUACCCUCAUGUGGAGUCAGAAACCUGAAAACAGCCUCGCUCUCAAGCAUGCAUUCCCCUCUUUGUCCGGGGAGUAACGAUGGCUGAGGCGUUGGCAUGCAGAUACUUGCAGAGUGAAAAUGGAUACACUUCCCCAGCUCCUCAUCCCUGGCCUGGAGGACAGCCUGCCAGCCGUGCAUGCAUGUUGGUUUGGCACUGAGACAAAUGUUCCCUGGAGCAUAGACUGAAACCACCAAACUGAUAUCACAGGGGACACCGGCCAAAUCCUGACCUCGCUCUCUGCAGGUGAGAGGCUGUGGAAUUAACCUGUGAUGCUCUCCGGCUCCCGCCUGAUGGGUGGUCUGGAUUUGUUUUCUUUUUCUUUUUUUUUCUUUUUAAUGCCACAUUUGAAUCUCCUUGCUCUCCCCACCCGACUGGUAUCUACCAGCCACAGAGCCACUCUGCCGGUCUUGGCUUGGGAACAGUGGGCAGUGACUUGGCUCCAAGAAAUGGGCAAACCACACGAUUUCUUCUUGCCCCUUGAGAGGGAAGGGCCACUCAUGGGCUGUUCCAGCCUCGAGCCCGGGUGGCAGGGCCCUCGGGCUGGCAUCGCUGGCAUCUGUGGUCGCGGUCUGCUCCUUUUGCGUCCCUCUCUUCCGCAUUUUUCCUCCCACCGUUCCAACUUCUCCCAUCUCCCCCCCGCCUUUUUUGUUUCCAACCCUUAUUUAUUCAGAGCUUCCAAUAUUCUAAGUUUUUCAUGAAUCCAGGGCUUUAAUUUAGCAUGUGGGGUGCUGGCGCUUCCAGCGAGCUGCUUGGGUCAUUAUUUCCAACGUGAAGGAAUAAAGAGGCAGCAGGGUGCAGUGGACAGCAUGGGGGCUGGACGCCAGAAGGCCCCGUGCUAGUCCCUGUCUUGCAUCUAAGCAGCUCUGGAACCCUGGCCGGGCCUCGCCCUGGCUGCCAGGCUCAGUUUCCUCCCCAGAGGGAUGGGGAAUCGGGGCGAGAUGAUUUCUAAGGCUCGUCUCAUUCUGUGAUUCUGUGGAGCUCACUGGCCACGUGAAAUCCACAUUGGGUUGUGCCAGUGUCACUUUCCUUUGUGUUUUGAAAAACUAUAUUGUUACGAGGAUGAAUGAGGAGAUGUGAGCAGAGUCCCUAAGCUCGAUGUCUCCAACGCAGAAGACCGAGGGGAAAACCUUCCUGGAAAUCACUUUCCAGGGGCCAUCGAUUUAAAAAGGAAAAAAAAAAAAAAAAG
This 5373-nucleotide long non-coding RNA is filed under the name Sus scrofa (pig). Its description in RNAcentral is "lncRNA (ENSSSCG00015036292.1)". The record is from RNAcentral. Lineage: Eukaryota; Metazoa; Chordata; Mammalia; Artiodactyla; Suidae.